AGAAAGCCACGGCUAACUACGUGCCAGCAGCCGCGGUAAUACAGAGGUCUCAAGCGUUGUUCGGAAUCACUGGGCGUAAAGCGUGCGUAGGCUGUUUCGUAAGUCGUGUGUGAAAGGCGCGGGCUCAACCCGCGGACGGCACAUGAUACUGCGAGACUAGAGUAAUGGAGGGGGAACCGGAAUUCUCGGUGUAGCAGUGAAAUGCGUAGAUAUCGAGAGGAACACUCGUGGCGAAGGCGGGUUCCUGGACAUUAACUGACGCUGAGGCACGAAGGCCAGGGGAGCGAAAGGGAUUAGAUACCCCUGUAGUCCUGGCAGUAAACGGUGCACGCUUGGUGUGCGGGGAAUCGACCCCCUGCGUGCCGGAGCUAACGCGUUAAGCGUGCCGCCUGGGGAGUACGGUCGCAAGAUUAAAACUCAAAGAAAUUGACGGGGACCCGCACAAGCGGUGGAGUAUGUGGCUUAAUUCGAUGCAACGCGAAGAACCUUACCUGGGCUUGACAUGUAAUGAACAACAUGUGAAAGCAUGCGACUCUUCGGAGGCGUUACACAGGUGCUGCAUGGCCGUCGUCAGCUCGUGUCGUGAGAUGUUUGGUUAAGUCCAGCAACGAGCGCAACCCCUGUUGCCAGUUACCAGCACGUGAAGGUGGGGACUCUGGCGAGACUGCCCAGAUCAACUGGGAGGAAGGUGGGGACGACGUCAGGUCAGUAUGGCCCUUAUGCCCAGGGCUGCACACGUACUACAAUGCCCAGUACAGAGGGGGCCGAAGCCGCGAGGCGGAGGAAAUCCUGAAAACUGGGCCCAGUUCGGACUGUAGGCUGCAACCCGCCUACACGAAGCCGGAAUCGCUAGUAAUGGCGCAUCAGCUACGGCGCCGUGAAUACGUUCCCGGGUCUUGUACACACCGCCCGUCA
This 915-nucleotide ribosomal RNA is filed under the name uncultured bacterium. RNAcentral describes it as "bacterial SSU rRNA". It matches the Rfam family "Bacterial small subunit ribosomal RNA", at positions 485 to 1399 of the family's 1533-position model. The record is from RNAcentral.